This 496-nucleotide ribosomal RNA is filed under the name uncultured bacterium. RNAcentral describes it as "bacterial SSU rRNA". It matches the Rfam family "Bacterial small subunit ribosomal RNA", at positions 8 to 507 of the family's 1533-position model. The record is from RNAcentral.
AGAGUUUGAUCCUGGCUCAGGAUGAACGCUAGCGGAAGGCUUAAUACAUGCAAGUCGAGCGGUAGGUGGCUUCGGCCAUUGAGAGCGGCGCACGGGUGAGUAACGCGUACAUGACCUGCCUGUCAGAAGGGGAUAGCCCUGGGAAACUGGGAUUAAUACCCUAUGGUAUUGAUAUUAUGAAUGAUAUCAAUUAAAGUUGAGGCGCUGACAGAUGGAUGUGCGUCUGAUUAGCUAGUUGGUAGGGUAACGGCCUACCAAGGCGACGAUCAGUAGGGGGCGUGAGAGCGUGGUCCCCCACACGGGUACUGAGACACGGUCCAGACUCCUACGGGAGGCAGCAGUAGGGAAUAUUGGACAAUGGGCGAAAGCCUGAUCCAGCCAUGCCGCGUGAUAGAUGAAGGCCCUCUGGGUUGUAAAUAUCUUUUAUCUGGGAAGAAACAAUCUUAUUCUUAAGAUCUUGACGGUACCAGAGGAAUAAGCACCGGCUAACUCCGUG